AUGAACGCUGGCGGCGUGCUUAACACAUGCAAGUCGAACGAGCCUUCGGGCUAGUGGCGGACGGGUGAGUAACGCGUGGGAAUCUGCCCUCAGGAGGGGGAUAACGGCCGGAAACGGCCGCUAAUACCCCAUAUGCCGAGAGGUGAAAUGAAUUUCGCCUGAGGAUGAGCCCGCGUCUGAUUAGCUAGUUGGUGUGGUAAUGGCGCACCAAGGCUUCGAUCAGUAGCUGGUCUGAGAGGAUGAUCAGCCACACUGGGACUGAGACACGGCCCAGACUCCUACGGGAGGCAGCAGUGGGGAAUUUUCCGCAAUGGGCGCAAGCCUGACGGAGCAACGCCGCGUGAGGGACGAAGGCCUCUGGGCUGUAAACCUCUUUUCUCAAGGAAGAAGACAUGACGGUACUUGAGGAAUAAGCCACGGCUAAUUCCGUGCCAGCAGCCGCGGUAAUACGGGAGUGGCAAGCGUUAUCCGGAAUUAUUGGGCGUAAAGCGUCCGCAGGCGGCCCAGCAAGUCUGUUGUUAAAAAGUGGAGCUUAACUCCAUCCAGGCAAUGGAAACUGCUGGGCUAGAGUGUGGUAGGGGCAGAGGGAAUUCCCGGUGUAGCGGUGAAAUGCGUAGAUAUCGGGAAGAACACCAGUGGCGAAGGCGCUCUGCUGGGCCAUAACUGACGCUCAUGGACGAAAGCCAGGGGAGCGAAAGGGAUUAGAUACCCCUGUAGUCCUGGCCGUAAACGAUGAACACUASGUGUCGGGGGAAUCGACCCCCUCGGUGUCGUAGCCAACGCGUUAAGUGUUCCGCCUGGGGAGUACGCACGCAAGUGUGAAACUCAAAGGAAUUGACGGGGGCCCGCACAAGCGGUGGAGUAUGUGGUUUAAUUCGAUGCAACGCGAAGAACCUUACCAGGGUUUGACAUCCUGCGAAUCCCUUGGAAACUUGGGAGUGCCUUCGGGAGCGCAGUGACAGGUGGUGCAUGGCUGUCGUCAGCUCGUGUCGUGAGAUGUUGGGUUAAGUCCCGCAACGAGCGCAACCCACGUCUUUAGUUGCCAGCAUUCAGUUGGGCACUCUAGAGAGACCGCCGGUGAUAAACCGGAGGAAGGUGUGGAUGACGUCAAGUCAUCAUGCCCCUUACAUCCUGGGCUACACACGUACUACAAUGCUACGGACAAAGGGCAGCAAACUCGCGAGAGCUAGCAAAUCCCAUAAACCGUGGCUCAGUUCAGAUCGUAGGCUGCAACUCGCCUACGUGAAGGAGGAAUCGCUAGUAAUCGCAGGUCAGCAUACUGCGGUGAAUACGUUCCCGGGCCUUGUACACACCGCCCGUCACACCAUGGAAGUUGGCCAUGCCCGAAGUCGUUACUCCAACCCGUAAGGGAGGAGGACGCCGAAGGUGGGGCUGAUGACUGGGGUGAAGUCGUAACAAGGUAGCCGUACCGGAAGGUGCGGCUGGAUCACCUCCU
This 1456-nucleotide ribosomal RNA is filed under the name Synechococcus sp. MW97C4. RNAcentral describes it as "16S ribosomal RNA". It matches the Rfam family "Bacterial small subunit ribosomal RNA". Lineage: Bacteria; Bacillati; Cyanobacteriota; Cyanophyceae; Synechococcales; Synechococcaceae. The record is from RNAcentral.